UAACUUUGGGAAACUAAAGCUAAUACCGCAUAAGAAGAGAGAAUGGCAUCAUUUUCUUUUGAAAGACACGUCGGCAAAAGAUGGGCAUGCGUUAGAUUAGGUAGUUGGUGAGGUAACGGCUCACCAAGCCGAUGAUCUAUAGGGGUUCUGAGAGGAAGAUCCCCUACAUUGGCACUGAGAUACGGGCCAAACUCCUACGGGAGGCAGCAGUAGGGAAUAUUGGGCAAUGGAAGCAAUUCUGACCCAGCCAUGCCGCGUGCAGGAAGAAGGGGCUAUGCCUUGUAAACUGCUUUUAUCAGGGAAGAAAACGCUCUUGCGAGAGUAACUGACGGUACCUGAGGAAUAAGCACCGGCUAACUACGUGCCAGCAGCCGCGGUAAUACGUAGGGUGCAAGCGUUGUCCGGAUUUAUUGGGUUUAAAGGGUGCGUAGGCGGGAGAAUAAGUCAGCGGUGAAAGUUGUCAGCUCAACUGACAAACUGCCAUUGAUACUGUUUUUCUUGAGUAUAGCGGAGGUAGCCGGAAUGUUACAUGUAGCGGUGAAAUGCUUAGAUAUGUAACAGAACCCCGAUUGCGAAGGCAGGUUACUACACUAUAACUGACGCUGAGGCGCGAAAGUGCGGGGAUCAAACGGGAUUAGAUACCCU
RNAcentral lists this ribosomal RNA (645 nucleotides) under uncultured bacterium. RNAcentral's name for it is "bacterial SSU rRNA". It matches the Rfam family "Bacterial small subunit ribosomal RNA", at positions 144 to 788 of the family's 1533-position model. The record is from RNAcentral.